CACUUGUGAUUAUCAUCUCUCCUCCUCCAAUCUCCUCUGACUUGACCGUCGGAGGGCCAUCACCACCCUGGUGGUGGUGCAAGGCUGUUUGCAGGUUCCUUGGCGGAAGGUGGAGCGCGACCAGCACCAACCAAGACAACUCAGGCGGAACCCCGUUCACACCGUCGUGUCAAUCGUUCUCGGUUUGGACCACCAGCAACAG
This 202-nucleotide long non-coding RNA is filed under the name Phoenix dactylifera (date palm). RNAcentral's name for it is "long non-coding RNA (PDAC_LNC005403)". The record is from RNAcentral. Lineage: Eukaryota; Viridiplantae; Streptophyta; Magnoliopsida; Arecales; Arecaceae.